Amborella trichopoda is the source of this 714-nucleotide long non-coding RNA. RefSeq lists it as uncharacterized. Lineage: Eukaryota; Viridiplantae; Streptophyta; Magnoliopsida; Amborellales; Amborellaceae. The record is from RefSeq and is a predicted model, not a curated record.
CCCCCGCAUGAAACAAAAUAGGAGGGGUAGUUUAGUUAUUUUGGUUUCCUAUAUAAAGGAACCUAUUUUUACUUCUUCUUGUGGUCUAGGGUUUUUAUUCCCAAAAAUUUACAGGUUUUUCGAUCUAGGGUUUUGCAAUCCCUUGUGCUCUUUCGAUGGCUAUUUCUGAAUCUAAGGAUCAGGUGAUUCAGUUCUUGAAUUCUCAAUUUUUAGACGACGAGAAAUGGCCCUUUACCAAGAAUGUACUAUGGGCUUUCGGGUUGUUUGUCACUUCAGCGGUUGUAAUGCACAAAUAUGGGGAACAGCUGGCAAUAUGAAGCUGGUGUGGUAGCAACAGGUCUCUCUUGUGGGGAUUGACUUUAGGCUAGGCGACUGGACUGGAAAUGAUAGCAGAUGACAUUCAGGUGAUUUACUAAGAGAUUGAACGAAAUCUUCAGAAUUUGUCAGUGAGCAAAUCUUUUUCUGUUUUUGGUAAUGGAAGUAGCUUUGUUAUGGUAUUUUCUUAGAAUGAAACAUUACUUCGAGAGGUUUUCAAGAAUGAGUUCAUACUUUGGUUUUCAAGAAUGAGUUCAUACUUUGGCUACGUAAACAUUUUUCUGGACACAUGUGAAUCAACGAAUACAAAAGAUUUCAUUGUAUCUGUCACUUGAACAUCUCAUAAAAGAAUUGGAUGCAAGCCUCAAGUCAGCUGGGCCGAAGUUUUCAUUGAGUCAA